RNAcentral lists this ribosomal RNA (253 nucleotides) under uncultured bacterium. RNAcentral's name for it is "partial 16S ribosomal RNA". It matches the Rfam family "Bacterial small subunit ribosomal RNA", at positions 524 to 776 of the family's 1533-position model. The record is from RNAcentral.
UACGUAGGGACCAAGCGUUGUUCGGAUUUACUGGGCGUAAAGGGCGCGUAGGCGGCGUGACAAGUCACUUGUGAAAUCUCCGGGCUUAACUCGGAACGGCCAAGUGAAACUGUCAUGCUAGAGUGCAGAAGGGGCAAUCGGAACUCUUGGUGUAGCGGUGAAAUGCGUAGAUAUCAAGAGGAACACCUGAGGUGAAGACGGGUUGCUGGGCUGACACUGACGCUGAGGCGCGAAAGCCAGGGGAGCAAACGGG